GAAUAUUGGGCAAUGCCCGCAAGGGUGACCCAGCAACGCCGCGUGGAGGAUGAAUGUCGUAAGAUUGUAAACUCCUGUUAGAGGGGAAGAAUAGUACCGGUUGGACCGGUAUAUGACUGUACCCUCAGAGAAAGCCCCGGCUAACUACGUGCCAGCAGCCGCGGUAAUACGUAGGGUGCGAGCGUUAAUCGGAAUUACUGGGCGUAAAGCGUGCGCAGGCGGUUUUGUAAGACAGAUGUGAAAUCCCCGGGCUUAACCUGGGAACUGCGUUUGUGACUUCAAGGCUGGAGUACGGCAGAGGGGGGUGGAAUUCCACGUGUAGCAGUGAAAUGCGUAGAGAUGUGGAGGAACACCGAUGGCGAAGGCAGCCCCCUGGGACUGUACUGACGCUCAUGCACGAAAGCGUGGGGAGCAAACA
RNAcentral lists this ribosomal RNA (418 nucleotides) under uncultured bacterium. Its description in RNAcentral is "bacterial SSU rRNA". It matches the Rfam family "Bacterial small subunit ribosomal RNA", at positions 359 to 774 of the family's 1533-position model. The record is from RNAcentral.